UACGGAGGGAGCUAGCGUGGUUCGGAAUUACUGGGCGUAAAGCGCGCGUAGGCGGCUUUGUAAGUUAGAGGUGAAAGCCUGGAGCUCAACUUCAGAAUUGCCUUUAAGACUGCAUCGCUUGAAUCCGGGAGAGGUGAGUGGAAUUCCGAGUGUAGAGGUGAAAUUCGUAGAUAUUCGGAAGAACGCCAGUGGCGAAGGCGGCUCACUGGACCGGCAUUGACGCUGAGGUGCGAAAGCGUGGGGAGCAAACAGG
RNAcentral lists this ribosomal RNA (253 nucleotides) under uncultured bacterium. RNAcentral describes it as "partial 16S ribosomal RNA". It matches the Rfam family "Bacterial small subunit ribosomal RNA", at positions 524 to 776 of the family's 1533-position model. The record is from RNAcentral.